GACGAACGCUGGCGGCGUGCCUAACACAUGCAAGUCGAACGGGAGCAAGUGCUUCGGUAUUUGCUUUAGUGGCGAACGGGUGAGUAACGCGUGAAUAACCUGCCUUUCAGUGGGGGACAACAGUCGGAAACGACUGCUAAUACCGCAUGAGACCACAGGACCGCAUGGUCAAGGGGUCAAAGAUUUGAUCGGUGAUAGUUGGGCUCGCGUCUGAUUAGCUGGUUGGUGAGGUAACGGCCCACCAAGGCGACGAUCAGUAGCCGACCUGAGAGGGUGAUCGGCCACAUUGGAACUGAGAAACGGUCCAA
This 308-nucleotide ribosomal RNA is filed under the name uncultured bacterium. Its description in RNAcentral is "bacterial SSU rRNA". It matches the Rfam family "Bacterial small subunit ribosomal RNA", at positions 28 to 334 of the family's 1533-position model. The record is from RNAcentral.